RNAcentral lists this ribosomal RNA (1632 nucleotides) under metagenome. RNAcentral describes it as "bacterial LSU rRNA". It matches the Rfam family "Bacterial large subunit ribosomal RNA", at positions 1227 to 2925 of the family's 2925-position model. The record is from RNAcentral.
GGUAGGGGAGCAUUCUAUUAUAGGGAGAAGCAUGACCGGAAGGACAUGUGGACGAGAUAGAAGAGAGAAUGCCGGAAUGAGUAGCGAGAAUUAUGUGAGAAUCAUAAUGGUCGAAAACCUAAGGUUUCUUGAGGAAGGUUCGUCCGCUCAAGGUAAGCCGGGAGCUGAGGCGAGGCCGAAAGGCGUAGUCGAUGCACAUACGGUAGAAAUUCCGUAGCCACCGAAAUUGUUAAGCACAGGGACGCAGGAACAUAAUCCAACCGCACCGAUGGUCGAGUGCGGCGAAAGGGAGCGAAAAUUAAGUAGCGAAGUGGAUGAUUGUACACUGACGAGAAAAGCUGUGUGGACUGAUGAGGUGCCCGUACCGUAAACCGACACAGGUGGGUGAGGAGAGAAUCCUAAGACCAGCGGGAGAAGUGUUGUUAAGGAACUCGGCAAAUUGACCCUGUAACUUCGGGAAAAGGGGUGCCUGCUAGCGCAGGCCGCAGAGAAUAGGCCCAAGCGACUGUUUAGCAAAAACACAGGUCUCUGCUAAAUCGAAAGAUGAAGUAUAGGGGCUGACGCCUGCCCGGUGCCGGAAGGUUAAGAGGAGGACUUAGCGCAAGCGAAGGUCUGAAUUGAAGCCCCGGUAAACGGCGGCCGUAACAAUAACGGUCCUAAGGUAGCGAAAUUCCUUGUCAGGUAAGUUCUGACCCGCACGAAUGGCGUAACGAUUUGGGCACUGUCUCAACAACACACCCGGUGAAAUUGUAGUACCGGUGAAGAUGCCGGUUACCCGCGACUAGACGGAAAGACCCCAUGGAGCUUUACUGUAACUUGAUAUUGGAUUUUGGUAUUGCAUGUACAGGAUAGGUGGGAGACUGAGAAGCACAGACGCCAGUUUGUGUGGAGUCAAUGUUGGGAUACCACUCUUGUGAUACUGGAAUUCUAACCUGCGGCCGUGAAACCGGUCGGGGGACAAUGUCUGGUGGACAGUUUGACUGGGGCGGUCGCCUCCUAAAGAGUAACGGAGGCGUUCAAAGGUUAGCUCAGUACGGUCAGAAAUCGUACGAAGAGUGCAAACGCAAAAGCAAGCCUAACUGCGAGACGAACAGGUCGAGCAGUAACGAAAGUUGGAGUUAGUGAUCCGGCGGUAAGAGAGUGGAAUUGCCGUCGCUCAACGGAUAAAAGCUACCCUGGGGAUAACAGGCUGAUCUCCCCCAAGAGUCCAUAUCGACGGGGAGGUUUGGCACCUUGAUGUCGGCUCAUCGCAUCCUGGAGCUGGAGUCGGUUCCAAGGGUUGGGCUGUUCGCCCAUUAAAGCGGUACGCGAGCUGGGUUCAGAACGUCGCGAGACAGUUCGGUCCCUAUCUGUCGCGGGCGCAGGAAAUUUGAAGGGAGCUGUCCUUAGUACGAGAGGACCGGGAUGGACGUACCACUGGUGUACCAGUUGUCUUGCCAAAGGCACGGCUGGGUAGCUAAGUACGGAAGGAAUAAACGCUGAAGGCAUCUAAGCGUGAAGUCCCCCCUAAGAUAAGAUUUCCCAUUCUUUAAAAGAAGUAAGACCCCACGUAGACUAUGUGGUUGAUAGGUCGGAGGUGUAAGUGUGGUAACACAUUAAGCUGACCGAUACUAAUAGGUCGAGGGCUUGAUC